CUUGGUCCCUUAAGUGAGUUAGGUUAUAGAUCUGGACCUUUGGAGGUCCAGAGUGUCCCUUUGCCCAAGCUUUUUAUGAAUCCAUGAGGGUUUUGGAUUAGGGUCUUUGUGCUUAAGGUCAAAACACCAUUUAUGAGUCAUGGGGUGUGUUAUGAGCACCAAGUUAUGGACUUUACGUGAUGAAUUAGCUUAGGAGGGCUAGAUCUAUGAGUUGUUGGAGCGGAUCUGACCUCAGAAGCAAGUUUGAGUUGAUGCAUGGCAUGGACUCGCCGAGUCUAAAGAAUAGAAUCGGCGAGUAGCAUGAAGAUUGUCCUUGACCACUCAGUGAGUGGUCCAGCCGACUUAUGAGCUGACUCAGUGAGUCAGGGAGAGUUAGAGAGGGUUGACAGGUGGACUGAGUCGAACAGGAACUCGUCGAGUUGUUCUUGAGACUCGGCGAGUUGAGUCGGGGUGGCCCCGCGAUUCAUACCAGGUGGAACUCGUCGAGUUAGGGGAAUACUCGACGUGUCAAAAAGGGAAUCCUAGAGAGUUGGUGAAAACGCUUAGACUCGCCGAGUCGCCCUAGUGCACUCGCCGAGUCCGGUCAAAGUUGACCGUUGACCAGAGUUGACCAGUGUUGACUUGAUAGGGGUAGUCAACCUUAGUGGUAAAAGUGUUAAUUAGAGAUAUAUGAUGUUAUAGGAGGAUUAUAGCUCGGAGGAUCGAGCACGAGUGAUUUCCAGGAUUCGCGAGUUAUCGAGAUAUACGAGGUGAGUCUUCUCACUAUACUUUACCUUGAGUAGGUAACCAGAGUUAUGUGAUAAGAGUAUUUGUAUGCUAUAUGUAUGUGAUGUGUUGUACUGCAUUAUUUCUAUGUGAUUUAUGCUGUGCAUGUUUUAGAGUUGGAACCGGAAGGUUCACAGAGUUAGAACCUGAGGGUUCACAGAGUUUGGGUGCACGGACCCAUAGAGUUAUAGCCUCGAGUGGCUAAUAUGUGUUAUGUGUGUGGUAUUUUGGGGAACUCACUAAGCUUUGUGCUUACAGUGUUAGUGUUGUUGUUUCAGGUACUAGCGAUGACCGUGGGAAGGCGCCGGCUUGAUCUGUACACACGCAUGGGAUUUUUAUGAUAUGUGAUCUUGGGAUUUUUUAUGAUAUGGAUUGGAGUUUUAAACUUGAUGUUUUAUGAAAAUUAAAUGAAAAUGUUUUUAUAUUAUGCGAAAAAUUAUUUUGAAAUUCACGGUGUUACAAUAUGGUAUCAGAGCCUUGGUUUGAGGGAUUCGAGUACACCUUCGGGCGUAUUUGAACUCAAACUGAGGAUUUGAGAAGUAUUUUCAAAAAGAGUAAAAGAUUUUUGAAAAAACGCAGAGCAGAGUUGUGUGUACGAUCAGUCCGCGCCCGAACGGUGAUUUCCCAAAAUACCCUCAUGUUAUGUGAUAUUGAUAUUGAUAUGAUGUAUUCGCAUGCUAGAGUAGGCUAGGUAUUCCUAUUAGGACUAGAGUGGCCUGAUUUGUGAUGCCUUAGCCUAGGAAGAGGUGAGCUGCUAUGAGAUGCUUGAGAGUGAGUAGGUAGCAGCGAGGGGCUUAUGAGAGAUCUAUUAGAGAGUGGCCUAUGCAUGAUAGAGUACUUGGAAUUUGGGAUCCGAAGAGGAGGACUUGGGGUGUACUCUGAUACGGUGCGGACAGUAGUAUUGGGCCCGUACUACUGAAAGCACCGGAGCGGUGUACAGCCCAAGUAAGAAUCUUUGGAAUACCAAGGAUCAAGGAGGAAUGAGUUGUCGAGUGUGAGUAUGCUCGAAUGGAUUCUAAUUUAUCGUAUGUUGUAUUUCAGAGGUAGAUCAUGGUGAGGACACGUUUGAUGCCUGAGAGCAGUGAUACCAGUGAUGAGGAGAUCCGCCGGAUCAUCCACGAGGAGGUGGCUGCGGCCAUCAGGGCAGAGAUACCAGAGAUGUUCGGGUCUAUUAAGACCACGCUGAUUGAGACCUUUGACGAGCGUUAUGCCGCUCUUUCUGAGGCUGCUGUUGCAGCGGCCACCGCAGCUAUUGCUGCCGCGAGGCCGCAGGGUGGUGAUGCGUUGCUGUUCCGAGAGUUCAGCAACACAAAACCACCAGAGUUUGAUGGGACCCAGGACCCGGUGGCGGCUAUGAGAUGGAUUUCUGACAUAGAGGGGUGUUUCUUCACUUGCUCAUCUCCUGAGCAUUUGAAGGUUCGGUUCGCGCUGAACCAGCUUCGCUUGGGAGCGAAGGACUGGUGGAAGUUUGUGACGGCGCACUUUACGCCUGCUGAGCUUGCGGCAGUGACCUGGGAGAGGUUCACUGCCAUGUUCCGAGAUGAGUACGUUCCCCAGGUGGAGAGGGAGCGUUUGGCCCAGGAGUUUCUGACCCUCAAGCAGGGUACUGAGUCUGUUACAGUGAUUACCAGGAUGUUCCAUGAGAGGGCGAUGUUCUGCCCUGAGCACGUGUCCACUGAGCAGGCACGUAUGAGCCGAUAUUUGAGUAUCUUGAGGCGAGACAUUCGGGAGUUCGCGGCGAACUCCUCGUACCGGACAUUUGCCGAGCUUCAGGCAAAUGCCCGGAAGAGGGAGAUUGAGCUAGAGACUCAGGCCAGGGAGGAGGCGGAGUCUCAGGGGAGGGAUCGGCGACCGGCACAGUCUCAGCCGGCAGCCAAGCGGGCCAAGCCCGCUGAUCCCAAACCAGGGAGCCAGAAGGGCCGCACUUGUGGGAAGUGUGGCAAGGGUCAUGAUGGAGUCUGUAGAGCGGGAUCUUGCUACAAGUGUGGCAAGGAGGGGCACAUGGCCAAGGACUGCCCCAAGGGGUUUGCGGUGUGUUUCCACUGCAACCAGACCGGACACCGGAAGGCAGAGUGUCCGCAGUUGCGAGGAUCAUCUCAGGGAGCACCUCAGGGAUCUGCCCCUGCCGCCAUCAGAGCUACCGAGAGUCGGCCAGUGAAGGCCGAGGCGCCGAGGGCACGAGGGAGAGCUUUUCAGCUGACCGCGGAGGAGGUCCGCGCAGCGCCCGAUGUCGUGGCUGGUAUGUAUUCUUUCAUGUAUUUAUUUUGAUGUUGAGAUAUUAUGCUUAUAUUAUGUUAUGCGUAGGUACUUUUCUUGUGAAUUCUGUACCUGCCUUGGUGUUAUUUGACUCGGGUGCGAGUCGGUCUUUUGUAUCUUUGGCUUUUAGUCAGCAUAUCAGUGUUAGUCGUGAGGCGUUGAGUCGGCCUCUGAGAGUUUCCAUAGCUGAUGAGAGGGUGAUAUAUGCCACGGAGGUUCUCCGAGGUUGCGUAGUCGAGAUUUUCGGUGUUGAGUUCCCGAUUGAUCUGGUUCCUAUUGCGAUGGGUGAUGUCUGUGUCAUUGUGGGCAUGGACUGGUUGAGCAGAUUCGGUGCGGUUAUCGACUGCGAGCGACAGCUGGUGACCAUACGAGACCCUAGUGGGGGAGUUCUUUCGGUGUACGGCGAGGGUACACGUUCAGGAUCAGCGUUUUGUUCGGCCGCUAGGGCGAGGCAGUGUCUACAGCAGGGCUGUAAGGGUUUUGUGGCGUAUGUGAUGGAUACGCGGGUGGAUUCCGAGAGGCCGAGUUCAGUUGAGGAGGUUCCGGUGGUGCGUGAGUUCCCGGAUGUGUUUCCCGAGGAGUUGCCGGGUGUGCCUCCUGUGAGGCAAGUGGAGUUCAGUAUCGAUUUGGUUCCGGGGGCCGCGCCUAUCGCUAAGGUGCCUUAUCGCCUUGCACCUCCAGAGAUGCAAGAGUUAUCCUCGCAGCUUCAGGAGCUGCUGGGGAAGGGGUUUAUUCGGCCGAGCAGCUCGCCGUGGGGAGCACCUAUCCUGUUCGUCAAGAAGAAGGAUGGUUCACACCGGAUGUGCAUUGAUUACCGGGAGUUGAACAAGCUGACGGUCAAGAACCGUUACCCGUUGCCGAGGAUCGACGAUUUGUUCGAUCAGUUGCAGGGAGCAUCUUGGUUCUCCAAGAUCGAUUUGAGGUCUGGAUAUCAUCAGGUGAGGGUGCGGGAUGAGGACGUCCAGAAGACAGCGUUCAGGACGCGUUAUGGGCAUUAUGAGUUUGUGGUGAUGCCUUUUGGGCUCACCAAUGCCCCGGCAGUGUUCAUGGAUCUCAUGAACCGAGUGUGUAGGCCGAUGCUGGAUCGGUCGGUGAUUGUAUUUAUCGACGACAUUCUGGUAUAUUCGAGAUCUAGAGAGCAGCAUGAGGAGCAUUUGAGAGAGGUUCUCGGAGUUCUGAGAUCGGAGAGGCUUUAUGCCAAAUUCUCCAAGUGUGAUUUCUGGUUGCGGGAGGUCCAGUUCUUAGGACAUCUCGUUAACCAGGAAGGGAUAUUGGUCGAUCCGGCCAAGGUUGAGGCGGUGAUGAGUUGGGAGGUGCCGAAGUCACCCUCCGAGAUCAGGAGUUUCCUAGGGUUGGCAGGGUAUUAUCGGAGGUUUAUCAAGGAUUUCUCUAAGAUCGCAGUGCCACUCACCAGAUUGACCCGGAAGGGUGUUGCUUUUUCAUGGGGCCCCGAGCAGCAGGCCUCCUUUGAGACACUUCGCCAAAGGUUGUGCGAAGCCCCGGUGUUAGCUCUCCCGGAAGGGAUGGAGGACUUUGUGGUAUACUGUGAUGCAUCGAUUUUGGGGUUGGGAGCGGUGCUGAUGCAGAGAGGGCAUGUGAUAGCAUAUGCAUCGAGGCAGCUGAAGCCUCAUGAGACGAGAUAUCCCACCCAUGAUCUAGAGUUGGGGGCAGUGGUGUUCGCCCUCAAGAUUUGGCGUCACUACUUGUAUGGGGUUCGGUGUACGAUAUACACGGACCAUAAGAGUUUGAAGUAUUUGAUGGAUCAGCCCAACCUAAAUAUGCGUCAGAGAAGGUGGUUGGAUGUGGUCAAGGAUUAUGAUUGUGAGAUCCUGUACCACCCAGGCAAGGCUAAUGUGGUAGCCGAUGCAUUGAGCCGCAGGGCGGAGAGCACCCCGCUGCGGGAGGUAUGUUUGAGAUUGACCGUGAUAGCUCCAGUAUUGGACGCCAUUCGUGGGGCACAGGCCGAGGCUGUGCAACCUGAGAUGCAGAAGAGGGAACGGGUUGUUGGUUUGGUUUCAGAGUUCGUUACCGAUGGUCGGGGGCUUAUGACAUUUCAGGGGCGUAUCUGGGUGCCGUUUGUGGGAGGAACGCGUACCAUUUUGAUGGAGGAGGCUCAUCGGUCGAAAUUUUCGAUCCAUCCGGGGGCCACUAAGAUGUAUUUGGAUUUGAGAAAGGAGUAUUGGUGGCCCUGUAUGAAGAGGGAUGUCGCGUGGUUUGUUGAGAGGUGCUUGACCUGUCGUAGGGUUAAGGCCGAGCACCAGAGGCCGCAUGGUAAGUUGCAGCCAUUGGAGGUUCCCGAAUGGAAGUGGGAACAGAUCACUAUGGAUUUCAUCACCAAAUUGCCGAGGACUGCCAGAGGAGUUGAUGCAAUUUGGGUGAUUGUGGACAGGUUGACGAAGAGCGCUCACUUCCUUGCCAUCAGUGAGAGUUCUUCAGCAGAGAAAUUGGCGGAGGUGUAUGUGAGGGAAGUGGUAUCUCGGCAUGGGGUGCCGAUCUCGAUUGUUUCAGACCGUGAUGUGCGUUUCACUUCCAGAUUCUGGAAGAAAUUUCAUGAGGAGUUGGGUACUAGAUUGCAUUUUAGUACCGCAUAUCAUCCCCAGACAGACGGUCAGAGUGAGCGGACGAUUCAGACGCUUGAGGACAUGCUUCGAGCAUGUGUGUUGGAUUUCGGGGGUAGCUGGGAUGCGUAUUUACCCUUGGCAGAGUUUUCCUACAACAACAGCCAUCAUUCGAGCAUUGGUAUGCCACCCUUUGAGCUGUUGUAUGGGAGGAGGUGUCGGACCCCCAUUUGUUGGGGAGAGGUUGGGCAGAGAGUGAUGGGCAGUACAGAGAUCAUGCUUCAGACGACAGAGCAGAUUCAACAGGUCAGACAGAGGUUGUUGACCACUCAGAGCUGACAGAAAAGUUAUGCAGACAGAUGCCGGUUCGAGCUUGAGUUCCAGGUCGGCGACCUUGUACUCCUGAAGGUCUCUCCUUGGAAAGGAGUGAUUCGAUUCAGGAAGAGGGGCAAGUUGGGGCCCCGGUAUAUUGGGCCAUUUCGCGUGAUUGCGAGGGUAGGCCGGGUAGCCUAUCGUUUGGAAUUGCCAGCAGAGUUGGGGCAAAUCCACGACACUUUNACUUUUCAUGUGUCGCAGCUGAGGAAGUGUAUAGCCGAUGAGUCGGCAGUGGUUCCAUUAGAGGAUAUUCAGGUGGAUGCGAGCCUGAAUUAUGCCGAGAGACCAGUGGCCAUCAGAGAUCGGAAAAUCAAGGUUCUGAGGAACAAGGAGGUACCCCUGGUGUUGGUUCAGUGGCAACAUCGGAAGGGAUCAGAGAUGACCUGGGAGCCGGAGCGUGAGAUGCGUGAGCAGCAUCCGGAGCUAUUUCCAGAGUGAGACUUCGAGGGCGAAGUCUAGUUCUAGUGGGGGAGAGUUGUAACAGCUCGGAUUUCCAGGUAUCUUUUAUGCUUAUGUUUUUGGUGUUUUGUGAGGGGACUCGGCGAGUUGGAGCUCAGACUCGCCGAGUAGGAUCGCGGUUCUGGACGCGGGUUCGCGCCUGGACUCGGCGAGUCCAAGGUAUGGACUCGGCGAGUCUGCGCUGUUUAAUGAAACCCUAAUUUCUCGGGUUUGGGACCUAUUUAAAGGGCCUUAAGGCCGUCAUUUGUGCUCACCAGACACCCUGAGUGAAACCCUAGCGAGUUUGAGCAAUUGGAGCAAAGCAAGGAGCCAUUAUUGACCUUGGAGGUGUUAUAUUGCAAGGGAAAGGAAGCAUUAGCUUAAGGGAAUCAAGUGGAGCCACUUUCUGAAGAUUUAGGGUUCAGAACAUCACAUUUGAGGUACUACUUUCGAGCUAUUCUCUGUUAUGUUGAUUUAGGGCUUAUUGAGCCAUUUUGUGGUUAGAUCUAGUGCUUCCUUGGUCCCUUAAGUGAGUUAGGUUAUAGAUCUGGACCUUUGGAGGUCCAGAGUGUCCCUUUGCCCAAGCUUUUUAUGAAUCCAUGAGGGUUUUGGAUUGGGGUCUUUGUGCUUAAGGUCAAAACACCAUUUAUGAGUCAUGGGGUGUGUUAUGAGCACCAAGUUAUGGACUUUACAUGAUGAAUUAGCUUAGGAGGGCUAGAUCUAUGAGUUGUUGGAGCGGAUCUGACCUCAGAAGCAAGUUUGAGUUGAUGCAUGGCAUGGACUCGCCGAGUCUAAAGAAUAGAAUCGGCGAGUAGCAUGAAGAUUGUCCUUGACCACUCAGUGAGUGGUCCAGCCGAGUUAUGAGUUGACUCAGUGAGUCAGGGAGAGUUAGAGAGGGUUGACAGGUGGACUGAGUCGAACUGGAACUCACCGAGUUGUUCUUGAGACUCAGCGAGUUGAGUCGGGGUGGCCCCGCGAUUCAUACCAGGUGGAACUCGUUGAGUCAGUGGAAUACUCGACGUGUCAAAAAGGGAAUCCUAGAGAGUUGGUGAAAAUGCUUAGACUCGCCGAGUCGCCCUAGUGCACUCGCCGAGUCCGGUCAAAGUUGACCGUUGACCAUUGACCAGAGUUGACCAGUGUUGACUUGAUAGGGGUAGUGAACCUUAGUGGUAAAAGUGUUAAUUAGAGUCAUAUGAUGUUAUAGGAGGAUUAUAGCCCGGAGGAUCGAUCGCCC
RNAcentral lists this long non-coding RNA (7626 nucleotides) under Lactuca sativa (garden lettuce). RNAcentral describes it as "long non-coding RNA (LSAT_LNC004000)". The record is from RNAcentral. Lineage: Eukaryota; Viridiplantae; Streptophyta; Magnoliopsida; Asterales; Asteraceae.